UAAGGGAGAGAAAGGAUGAUGUCAUGGUUUAAAAUGUACGGGACGAAGCCAGGUGUGGUAGUAUAUGACUGGAAGGCAGAGGCAGGCAGAUCUCUUAAGUUUGAAGCUAGUCUGGUCUUUAUAGCAAGCUCCAGGCCACCCAGGGCUACAUAGACCCUGUCUCAAAAACAAACAAACAAAUAAAUGAAGUGUGUGUGUGUGUGUGUGUGUGUGUGUGUGUGUGUGUGUGUGUGUUUGAUCCUGGUACAUGCAAAUGUCAUAAUGAAACAGGGUACGAUAAUGAAAUAAUGAAACGAUGGAUAUAUGCUAAUAAAAGGGUGAAUGAGUAAUACUGAAGAACUUGAUAACUUGAUGAUCAGCAAUCAGAAUGGAGGUUUUCUUCCAUAUACAGGCUCGGUAUUUUGUGAGUGUGUGCAUGCAUGCAUGUGUAUGGAGGCUAGAAGUCAACUUUAACUGCUUUCUGCUUUUUUUUUUUUUUUUUUUUUUUUUUUUUUGCGACAGUCUCUCACUGUCCUGGGGCUCACAAAUUCUACUACAGCAGCUGGUCCUCAAGCACCAGGGAUCUGCCUGUCUCAAGACAUCCCCAUGAGAGAAUGUAGCAUUCACAAGGCUCAAGCCUUAAAAGUUGCUACAGUGGAAGAGUUAUGGGCUGUCAACAGGAACAUACAAUUCUUUUCAUUACUCUUACCUCAUGCUUCCAUCUGCCAGGGAUUUCUGGCCUGCGGCAGAGCCUUAACCCUCCUUCAGGCCUUGACUUUUGGCUUAAUUAUCAGGACAGCCUCUCAAGAAGCUGCUCGCCUCUCAACACAGCCCCAGGUAAUCCUUUAUAACGAUACAUACUCGGUGACAAAGACCUGCUCUGUGCACAACUCAAGAGGUUAG
Molecule: long non-coding RNA, 882 nt
Filed under: Cricetulus griseus (Chinese hamster)
Lineage: Eukaryota; Metazoa; Chordata; Mammalia; Rodentia; Cricetidae
Description: lncRNA (ENSCGRG00000025521.1)
Source: RNAcentral